GGAUGUGUUUAACUUGCACGUGCACGGUAGACCAUUCUUACGUACAUACAUGGCUAAUGUGUUGUUAUGCUGACAGAUCGUGGAAAUUGCGCUUUCUCUGCGAGCAGUUACUACACUGAGUAAACAAUAGUGGCUAGUGAAAGGAGAGCCCCAAUACGGGGAAAGUUGGUUGCUACAAACCAUUUUCUUUGCAGAAAUCGACUCUCUCGCGAAACAAUUGACCCCAGAAAAGCUUUACGUGAUGCAGUUAUCCUACAAGACGGCAGAGUGGGUUUGCCGGACAUAAAACAGGAAUGACUUGUUCUGAACACUUAUUCUGAACACUCUAACUACAGUCUGUUCCUCUCUUUAUAUGAAGGAAUAUGAACAAUUCAGGACAUUUGUUGUUGUGGAUUCAGUUAAUGUGUAGUGGUGAGCUAAUAUUUAGUGGUGGAUGUUUUGAUUGAUGUCUUCAGUCAAUGUUUAUUACUUUUAUAUUGUCAACAUUGAUUGGUGAAGAGUUUUAAAAAUUUGUGAUCAAUAUUUAUUGAUUUAUGUAGUAAAUAUCGAUUGAUUAUUAAAGUUAAUAUUUAUAUUGAUCUAAUACAUUUCAUUUUCUAUAAUUAAUUUACACAGUCAAUAUUGUAAAUAGAUUCAAAGUAACUUCUUUAUUCUGGUUGUUGCAGAUUCUAGAGACCUGGAUAACUUCCAUUAUUGCACCUGCCAGAAGACGAAUUACAUGUGUGUUUUAGGCAUAAGUCACCUAUGUUUCGAUUAAUUAACAUUUUCUGGAUCUCGUUAAGUUCAUCUUUCGAGAUUCUCCACAGAGUUACACAGAAAGUGUCUUUACUUCAGGGAGCUGUCGUGACCUGUUUUCUGUAGAAAUGAGUGCAACUAAAUAAUUUGCAGGAUCUUCUGGGAGAUCAGCCAUGCUAAGAGAUUUCUGAAUAAAUUUCAGUUUUGAAAAAACCAAAGGGCGGUGUUUCUUUACUAUGAUGAGAUGGAGCAGUUGAUGAUGCGUAUUCACA
Long non-coding RNA from Corticium candelabrum, 1007 nucleotides. RefSeq lists it as uncharacterized. Lineage: Eukaryota; Metazoa; Porifera; Homoscleromorpha; Homosclerophorida; Plakinidae. The transcript is spliced from 4 exons. The record is from RefSeq and is a predicted model, not a curated record.